GAUGUAAUUGAUAAUUUGCACCUGUUUUCUGAUUAUUUUUUAUAAGAGUAAGAUAUUAGAAAAUACUUGUUGCUAUUUUUCCAUACACAACGACAAAUAUUUAUAAAUAUUCCUGCCGCAAUCACUACAUCUGAUUUAGAUGAAAAUUUCAUCAGACAUAAAAUACCAGAGGAUUUAGAUUAAAUCAAUUUUGAACAUGUGUUAUGAGAAUAGAAAUGGAUUAUGAUGUCACCCAGUUCACUUUAGGUUCAAGAUUCCAACAGGCAGUGAUCUCAUAAAUCUCUAUUCCUAAUUGCUAGAAGAUUAAAUUAUGAUCUGAUUGAGACCAAGCCCUAGAUGUCAUCCAUUUUACGCAUACAGCAUGGUAUCCAGUGCAGGCCUUCAGCAGAUUCAAACAUUUUUUAAUUGAGUAACUAGUUUAUUCUGAGUUCAACAUACAGAAAUAGCUAAUCCUCCUACGGUUCUCAAAAUACGGAUCAUAUAUCCUGCGGCUCAGAAAAGGGAGUCCGGAAAUAGAGAGCAUGAGAAAACAUCUAAAGCAUCCAGAAAUCCUCUCCUGGACACCUUCCAAGAGGCAGGCUGAAUCAUCCUUCAGCCCCAGAGAAGGGGAAGCCAAUUUCAGGUGUUCAGACUCCGUUUUUAACAGGAACCCAGACUAAGGAGUUGGCAUUGGAAAUCAGACUGAGGAUGGGAUUGAGGAUCUCACUGGCCAAUAGGCAAGAAGACUGUGGCGAGUGGUAAGUGAAACCUGUGAGUCAAUGAGAGGCAAGUUCUGUUCUGGGAACUGACAGGAGUUAUGGCUACAGUGCUGCAGGGCUAAGACCAAGAACUGAGGCUGGAG
Molecule: long non-coding RNA, 841 nt
Filed under: Felis catus (domestic cat)
Lineage: Eukaryota; Metazoa; Chordata; Mammalia; Carnivora; Felidae
Description: lncRNA (ENSFCAG00000053076.1)
Source: RNAcentral